AAUGUUUUAGUUUAACCCUCCGCCACAAAAGUUUGGUACCCCAUUGAAUUAAUUUGAUACUUUAGAAAUUAUAAAAGGCAUCUAAUUAAUUAUGAAUGCCACUGUUUUAAUUAUUUUGAAGGACUUAAACAUUUUCUAAAGUUUUGGUUUCUUCACCAAUAUUACCUAUGCAUUAUUUGGCUCACUCCGAACAUUUUAGUUUUAAUAUUUGAAAUUUUUUAUUGUUUACUUGAUUUAGAAUUUGAAUUUGAAUCGGUUUCUAAUUAAGGCGAGAUUAGCAAUAGUAAUCGAGUUGACAUGGCAUCAUUAAUACAGGGUUACUGUAGCUUGAUUACCCGGGCGUCAUAAUUCUCCUCCACUACAAGAAAUCUCGUCCCGAGAUUCAUGAGAGGGACUAAUGGGGAAAAGAUUUGGUUACGAAAUUCUAACGAGUCAUCUCGGUCUUGGUUGCCCUUCUCGAAAAGUUGAACCCCCUUGUUGAUGUCUUCAUUUCCCUGCUCAUCAUGAUGAAGUCUUCAUCCUUUCUUCGGGAGUCUCAUCAUACUUAUGAAAAAUGAUAAGGGGUAUCUUCGGAAGAACUGACCUCUACAAGGUCGCGUAUCUGGUAGAGAACAUCAGGGAGGGUGGCGGAUAGUAACUCUCGAAUUGAAACUUAAGAAAAUAUCGAGAGCAAAGUAAGAAGGUGCGAAAUAGAAGUUUCAAGAGGAUAUGCAAUUGUUUGAUGCCUAAUCAGAAGGUGAAAGGGUUUCAGGGCAACAAUAAUAAGUAUUGCGUCUGAUACCCGAAUAGAUCACUUGGCAGGUGGGCCGUGAGUUACAUAAGAAGUCAAGCGCGAGGAAUAACUUUGGAAACCGGGGGUGUACAGGAGAGUCAGGUUUCGAUCCUGUGGGACUGUGGGUUAUGGGCCCACCAUGUGGGUUAAAAGUAGGAAGGGGGUGACGUCUUGCAUGAUCAUGUCAGCAAGGCAUGUCAGAGGAUAGAUUAUCGAUUAUGUCGGCAACAACCAUUGGUACCAAGGGAGAGGGACGAAGAGAACCAUUUUCCUGCUCGUUGAACGAGGCGGACCAAUAGGCAAAGUUCUCGUCCAUCGAUGGUUACCAGAAUGCUAUCAACAAAAGCAACAGGGUCUUACUGACACGGUUGUACACCAAGGUGUUUACAUAAGCAGAAGAAUAUUACUGCUUAGAUCAUAUAGAUCACCAGAAAGGUUAAACAAAACAAUGGAAAGGAAAAUGUGAUCUUCGUAUUAAACAGAACAAUGGAAGGGAAAAUGUGUUUAAACACAAAUUUCAGGGGUAUAUCCUUCCCAAGGUCAAGGAAAGCAUGAUAUCCAUGACAGGAUAUUAUGUACAAAACUAUUUUGGGAAAGGUGAGAGAAAUUUCAUGACAUACCCAUACAACGGGGUUUGAAUAAUUGAUAAAGAGAAUUUAGCAUUUUGCUUCAAAUGCUCUUAUUGAAAAUCGGAGUACCACAGACAUGCUUCGGGAUAGCAUUGACAUGGUCUUCAAACAAAGUUAGGACUUUGGAUACACAAAGGAUCCAUCAGGAUAAACUUAUUAAACAAGGCAUUCAAUUUCCUCAUGGAAAAAUGAUUAACCUUGUUAAAAAGGAAACUAUAACACUAGGUCCUCUCGUCAGGUGUGCUAGGCAUGACAUCACCUUACCGGGGCAUAUAGGGACCAAUUUUAUAACUCUUGAAAAUAUGUUCCAACCAUCAUGUCUGACCGAGAUUCAGAUCUGACUGGUGUCAGGAUACCUUAGACUCAGGAUGCCUAAGAAGAAAGGUGCAACACAAAUUGUCGAGGUGACAUUGUAAGAUUCUCGGGGAAAUGAAUUAUGGAAGCAAGUUCGAAAACAAGAGUUCAUCAGUAAUGAAGGAGAGGAAGAGGAUGUGGCUGAUGGACUCAGCAAUAAUUCAACAAGGUAUCCAAAAGGAUGCAUCUCCACAAUUAUGUGGAUAGGAAGAUAGCAUUUGUCAGAUCAAAUAAUAUAAUGAAAUAUGCUCGAGGAAAACAUACACAAUUAAACAUUGGUUGAAAGGUGCGCCCGAAUUAUGGGUUGGGUUGCACAACCAAUGUCAGAAUGGUGAUUCAAUAAUCAAUAGUCUAAGAAUGAACGAAUAUGGCAAGAAGUAUCACUUGUACCAAGAAUGCAUAAGAGGUGGUGAAAUUCCCACAACAUUCUUGACAUAAAAGGUGGUAAUAUCCAAGGUAAAGAAGAACAAUGCUGGGUAGCAAGGAACUCAAGGUAUAACACAAAACACAAACAAGCUUGUGUCGAACGGAAGGCAAUAAAGUGGUAGAUGAUAAAACAAAUCAUCAAGGGAAAGGAUGGUAUUUCUCAUCAUGAAUUCGACAUAUAUCUUGGAAGAGCUCAGGAUGUUGCUGAUGACCACGGCACAUUUGUCGAGAGAUUUCAUGAAGAUGUAAUCGAUCGGCGAUGACAUCAAGUCAAAUGAUGAUGCAGCAAAAGUCAAAUAAUACUUGAAGAAGAACUCAUAAGAAGUUAUGCAGUUCCGUGAUAAUCUCGAGAUACCAGAGGGGGUAAUACUUGAUGACAGAUCAAAGUAGAGGUUGGACUGGGGUAUUGCUCUACAGAAGACAAGCGCUUAAACUUGCACGCGAAAUGGUAUUUAAAGGAGAACAUGGUCGGAACCACGAUUGCAAAAGGCCAGAUCCCGGAUAUAAGAUGAACUUAUACCAAAGGAAUAAUUUAAUUUAAGAGAAGCUUUAAUGAUAAGAUCUACAUCGUGUCCAUGGGCAUGAACACAAAGUUCAAGGUCGACUCCCACUUCUCCAAUGCAUAACCUUUCAUUCACUUCUCACUUUCGAAGAAGUUGUAGUGUUGAAAUUUUAUUUGGCAAAAUACCAGAAGUGUAUGACUCGUGAAAACUUUCGAGUUCACACAGUUUAGAUAAGGCAUAUGUUCAACCCAUAGGGGCUUCUUAGAAACAUAUACCGCAAGUUUCAAGAGUAAAUAUCACAAGCUCGAAAGUAGAGCAAGGUUGAGAAAGUAGAUGAUACCAUUUACCAAAGGCAUUAUGUAUCCGAGGGAAGGCUCACAAGGUUAUUGAAUAUGAAGGACGCUGUCGGAUAAAAUCCAUUAAAGGAUCUACCGGUCCAUAACGGAGAUGACGUGAGCAUCGGCACACAACCAGAGGAAGUAACAAUGCAAAGGCAUUGAAUUAUGGAAACAACUGACUAAUCCAGAGCUCAAAUGCAAAGGAAUUAUGAUUUUCAAAUCAAGGGAUCAGAAGCAAUGUUCUAAUUAGGGAUGGAUAAGUUGAAUAGCCUUAGGGGUACAAUCAACGGCAAUUGGAUUUGUUGAGAACCAGCUCAUGUUUAAAAUGACGUCUGAGCCGGAAAGAUAAUUUAGAAGGAUCAACUGAUGAUUGCAUGCAUUCGCACUCAUGUUGAAUCAAAGGGAUCAAAAUGACGGUGUCUAGGGAUACUAACGAAUAUUGCCAGACAUAUGGAAAGCAUCCAUCAUGCAAGCAGACAAGUAUUGCAGAGCAAUAAGCUACUAAGGAUUUUUGGAGGAUCGAAUAGUAUUUCAAUGACCAUUGUGAAACACAUGAACAACUAGGGGAUGAGCGGAUACUCGAUAAGUGCGAGAAUUAUCCGUAGGGGUAUUCAGGUGACAAAGAACAGCAAGGCAGUAAGCUCAAAGGAUUAUCGAAACAACGACGAGUAUUCCGGGGUAUCUUGUAAUAACAAGACCAACUGGGAAUAAAAGUAAGAACGACAGGUGUAAGUAUUUAUCCAUAGGGAUUUUUCGGUGGUAGGGAAUUGCAAAAGCAAUGGCACAAAGUUUUAGGAGAACAUCGGAGAGUAUUAUCAAAAUCUUCUGUUGAAGGAGUCGAUCAUCUGUAAUGAAGGGCUCUCCGGGAGAAAGUGAUAACGAGAUCCUAAUGUUAGAUUUAGCAAAAUUCAUUUAACCCGAAUAGAAGAGAGUUCAGAGUCCCAGAGUAAGGAUCGAGGAGUAAAAGAUCCUAAUACCACACAGAGGGCGACGUGGGCUCGUAAGCCGCACAACCAUGUUAGUAAAAGUUUUUCAAUGACUAGACUCGACUUCGGCCAAGGAGUUGGAAAGGGGGAUUCCUACAGGCAGUCGGCUCUGAGACCAACUUGUGACGCCCGCGAUUUGACCGUACACUAAUCAUGCACGCAAAUGUGUACGAUCAAGAUCAAGGACUCACGGGAAGAUAUCACAACACAACUCUACAAAUAAAAUAAGUCAUACAAGCAUCAUAUUACAAGCCAGGGGCCUCGAGGGCCCGAAUACAAGAGCUCGAUCAUAGACGAGUCAGCGGAAGCAACAAUAUCUGAGUACAGACAUAAGUUAAACAAGUUGCCUUAAGAAGGCUAGCACAAACUGGGAUACAGAUUGGAAGAGGCGCAGGCCUCCUGCCUGGGAUCCUCCUAACUACUCCUGGUCGUCGUCAGCGGGCAGCACGUAGUAGUAGGCACCUCCGGUGUAGUAGGAGUCGUCAUCGACGGUGGCGUAUGGAUCCUGGGCUCCAACAUCUGGUUGCGACAACUAGGUAGAAGGGAUAGAGGGAAAAGAAGGAGAAGCAACCGUGAGUACUCAUCCAAAGUACUCGAAAGCAAGGAGCUACACUACAUAUGCAUGGGUAUAUGUGUAAAGGCCAUAUCGGUGGACUGAACUGCAGAAAGCCAGAAUAAGAGGGGGAUAGCUAAUCUUGUCGAAGACUACGCUUCUGGCAGCCUCCGUCUUGCAGCAUGUAGAAGAGAGUAGACUGAAGUCCUCCAAGUAGCAUCACAUAGCAUAACCCUAACCGAUGAUCCUCUCCUCGUCGCCCUGUGAGAGAGCGACCACCGGUUGUAUCUGGCACUUGGAAGGGUGUUCUUAUUAAGUAUCCGGUUCUAGUUGUCAUAAGGUCAAGGUACAACUCCAAGUUGUCCUGUUACCGAAGAUCACGGCUAUUCGAAUAGUUAACUUCCCUGCAGGGGUGCACCACAUAACCCAACACGCUCGAUCCCAUUUGGCCGGACACACUUUUCUGGGUCAUGCCCGGCCUCGGAAGAUCAACACGUCGCAGCCCUACCUAGGCACAACAGAGAGGUCAGCACGCCGGUCUAAAUCCUAUGGCGCAGGGGUCUGGGCCCAUCGCCCUUUGCACACCUGCACGUUGCGAACGCGGCCGGAAGCAGAACUAGCCCCCUUAAUACAAGAGCAGGCUUACGGUCCAAUCCGGCGCGCGCCACUCAGUCGCUGACGUCACGAAGGCUUCGGCUGAUACCACGACGUCGAGUGCCCAUAACUGUCCUCGCGUAGAUGGUUAGUGCAUAUAGGCCAGUGGCCAGACUCAGAUCAAAUACCAAGAUCUCGUUAAACGUGUUAUCUUGAGAUAACCGUGAACACCGACCAGGGCCAGGCCCACCUCUCUCCUAGGUGGUCUCAACCUGCCCUGUCGCUUCGCCACAAAGAUCCACUCGCGGGUACUCCUACGAGCCGACCCGUCUUUUAGUCAUCACAUGUAUCAUGUAUAAAGUAAAUAGUAUAUACCCGUGAUCACCUCCCGAGUGAUCACGGCCCGAUAGUAUAACAUGGCAGACGGACAAGAAUGUAGGGCCACUGAUGAUAAACUAGCAUCCUAUACUAAGCAUUAGGAUUGCAGGUAAAGGUAACAACAGUAGUAGCAAGGACAGGCUAUGCAUCAGGAUAGGAUUAAUGGAAAGCAGUAACAUGCUACACUACUCUAAUGCAAGCAGUAUAGAAAGUAGAGUAGGCAAUAUCUGGUGAUCAAGGGGGGGGGCUUGCCUGGUUGCUUUGGCGAGAGAGAGGGGUCGUCAACAUCGUAGUCAUACUCGGUGGAAUCAACACUGGCCUCGAGGUCCACCGGAGAAGAAGAGGGGGAAGAAACAGUAAAUACGGAGCGAACAAAGCAUAACAAAACAUAACGAGGCAAUACGCGGUGUAGGUAUGCCCUAACGCGGUAGUAGGUGAUACCGGUAAAGGGGAAAAACAUCUGGGAAAGUAUUCCCGGUGUUUUGCAUUUUUGGACAUAUGAACCGGAGGGGGAAAGUUGUGUGUUCGAUAGGCUAGGGGUGUGUGGCGGACAAACGAGCUUCGUAUCCGGAUUCGUCUCGUCGUUCGGAGCAAGUUUCAUGUACAAAGUAUUUUCAUCUGACUUACGGAUUAUUUUAUAUGAUUUUUCAAAGUUUUAAUCAAUUUCUAAAAUUUCUAAUUUAUUGUAAUUUGUUUUAAACCGAGUUGACCAAGUCAAUUUUGACUAGUCAAAAGGACAGGUUGUGGCCCACAUGUCAUAGGUUGUACCUAAACAAAUAAAUAAAACUAAUCUAAUUGAAUGGGACCCACAUGUCAUCUACACAUAGGCUAAUCUAGCCACUAAUUAAUACUACUAGCUAAACCUAGUACUAAUAAGGGUCGGCCACUACUGGGCAAAACCCAGCCGGCCACAUGCACGGCACACACACAAAACACGCAACACAAAUGCUAGAGGUUAAUUCCGUUCUCUGUUUAACAGAAAAUAGCAACUUAUGAUUUUCAUAGGAUUUAAUCAAUGCAUCAAAUGGAUUUGGUCCAAUGGAAACAUUUGAGCUUUGUCAAGUGUACUACCUACUCAUAUUAUUUUUACACAUAUUAGCAACUGUUUAACUACUGAUUAGGGGCUGUUUAGGGGCUUAGUCAACGUAGAAAUUGAAAAGCUAACUAGUAGCAGCUACAGUAGAUAGUAGCAGUACAGUAGAGCAGCGUUGGGCAGUGGCUUGGCUCAGGCAUGCGUAGGCGGGGCAGCCGCAGCGGCAGGCGAGGCCAUACGCGGGCGGGCGCGGGGUGCGGCUCAAUGGGCACAGUGAGGCCGGCCGACAACAGUAGGCACGGCCAUGGGCAAGCAGGCGGCGACACGCAGGGCAAUCAGGGGUGAGCGGCGACGACGCAGUCGAAGCAGCAAGCAGCGGUACGAGCAGCACAGGCAAGAGCAGCAGCGACAGGCAGUAGAAACAUCAAGCAGCAACGGUGGUGGCGCUAGAGGCAAAUAGCAGCAGCAGAAGCGAGCAGCGGCGGCACGCACGGCAAGCAGGGGCGAGCGGGGCGAGUGGCGGCAUGCUCAGGCGGGGGCGGCCGCAGUGCAGCAGCAUCACACGGGGGCAGCGCCGGCAGGCGUGGAUGCGCGCAGCAAGCACGCGAGCGCGGCCAAGGCACAGGUGAGCGCGAGAGAGCGGAGCAGUGGGCGGGCACGCGAUGGCGCCGGCGAAUGCGUGCGAUGGGGGCGGCUCGGACACGAUGAGCCCGAGAAAAUAGCCACGGAUCGACCAAAUGGAGGAGGUAGGUGGCAUCUACACAGCUCCAGAAGCUCGGCAAUGUCCUCUGUUGGGCUCGUGCAUUUCUACGGCGACGACGAGCUUGGCCUACAGUGGGGACGGAGUAGCGGUGACGGAGUCGUGCUAGAGAGAGGGGGGAAAGACACGGAGCUCACCAAGGGAGCUCAAGGAGGCUCUUCGAGGGGUUUAGGAGCUGCAGAGGCGAUCGACGUUGGCGACGGCGACCGGUGUCCUGAGGAAGAAGUCGAGCUCGGAGCGGCGUCGUGGGGGCGUCCAGGUCCUCUUGGAUUGGCAUAGAGGAAGAAGGGGAGGACAACGUAGGUCGGGGUCGGAUCGGGGGCGAGGUGAGGCAACGACGGCGAGGUCUGGCGACGGCGACGAAGGGCACCGGCUCGGGUCCGUGGGCGUCUAGAUCGGGGAGCGGAACGCGGGGGAGAGAGGGGGUUAGCUAGGGUUCCAGGAACCGGGGAGGGAGUCGCCGGAUAUAUAGGCGAGGCCGGCCGGGCGAUGGUCGGCGCGUGGCCGGCGACGGGGCGAUGGCCGCCACGCAACCCCCACGUUCCUGUAGUGGGAAGGGGAUGAGGGAGUGGGCCGGCCUGGCCAGUUUGCUGGGCCAAGGCCCAGGGGAGGGGGAGGUUUUAUCUUUUUAUAAUUUCAUUUUGUUUAUCUUUUCUUUUUCUUUAUUUACUCUUUUAUUUUACUAUUCGCGUAUUUUAGUUUUAUAAAAAUAUGAGACUAAUACCUAAAUUAAUGUUUUAGUUUAACCCUCUGCCACAAAAGUUUGGUACCCCAUUGAAUUAAUUUGAUACUUUAGAAAUUAUAAAAUGCAUCUAAUUAAUUAUGAAUGCCACUGUUUUAAUUAUUUUUAAGGACUUAAACAUUUUCUAAAGUUUUGGUUUCUUCACUAAUAUUACCUAUGCAUUAUUUGGCUCACUCCGAACAUUUUAGUUUUAAUAUUUGAAUUUUUUAUUGUUUACUUGAUUUAGAAUUUGAAUUUGAAUCAGUUUCUAAUUAAGGCGAGAUUAGCAAUAGUAAUCGAGUUGACGUGGCAUCAUUAGUACAGGGUUACUGUAGCUUGAUUACC
This 8392-nucleotide long non-coding RNA is filed under the name Triticum aestivum (bread wheat). RNAcentral describes it as "long non-coding RNA (TAES_LNC001432)". Lineage: Eukaryota; Viridiplantae; Streptophyta; Magnoliopsida; Poales; Poaceae. The record is from RNAcentral.